Molecule: non-coding RNA, 2967 nt
Organism: Sus scrofa (pig)
Lineage: Eukaryota; Metazoa; Chordata; Mammalia; Artiodactyla; Suidae
Source: RefSeq, a predicted model, not a curated record
UCCCCCUGGUCGGCUCCUCUCUGGGCAGGUCCCCGGGUCUCUGGGCCGAGGGGCGACCACGGGCUCUGGGCAGAGUGGGAACGAGCUCUCUCUGUGAGGUUCCUCUUCUGAGACAGUGAGUCUUGGGCUCCUCCCCAGCUUCCGCGGGUCUCCCCGCAGCCCCACCUCCCACUGGGCUUCCCGUUCCCUCUUCAGACCCAGGACGCCCAGACACCCCGGGUCUGAGAGAUGCGGCCCCUGUUGCUGCUGCCGCUGCUGUGGGCAGGGUCCCUGGCUCGGCACCUGAGCUACCUGCUGGACGUGCAGGAGACCGUGACGGUGCAGGAGGGCCUGUGUGUCCGCGUGCCCUGCUCCUUCUUCCAUUCUUGGAUCUCCUGGUCUGCGCCUGUUCACGGCUACUGGUUCCGCCAAGGGCCACAUCCCUCCUGGGACACCCUCGUGGCCACAAACAACCCAGCUCCUAAAGUGCGGGAGGAGACCCGGGGCCGAUUCCACCUCCUCUGGGACCCGCGGAACAAGAGCUGCUCCCUGGACAUCAGAGACGCACAGACGAGGGACACCGGGACAUACUUCUUCAGGGUGGAGGGCAGUCCUAACGUGGGACAUAGCUACUUAGAGAACAAGCUCUCUGUGCCGGUGACGGCUGUGACCCAGACACCUGAUAUCGGGGUCCAGGGGACCCUGGAAUCUGGCCGCCCCGGGAUCAUCACCUGUGCCCUGCCCACGGCCUCUGAGUGGUGCACACCCCCCACCUCUCCUGGAUGGGGGCCGCCCUCCGCUCCCUGCGGUCCAGGCCCCCCACCUCCUCAGUGCUGACCUUCACCCCGGGGCCCAGGGACCACGGCACAGACCUCACAUGUCGAGUGGCCUUCCCCGGAGCUGGAGCCGGCGUGAGCUUCCAGAGCACCAUCAGGCUGAACGUGUCAUAUGCUCCAGAGAAUCUGACCGUCCACGUCUUCCGGGGAAAGAGCACAGUCCCGGAGAUCCUGGGCAACGGCACCUCCCUGCAUGUCCCGAGGGUCAGUCCCUGCGCCUGGUCUGUGAUGCUCAUGGCAGCUCCCCCACCAGGCUGAGCUGGACCCAGGGGAGCCUGACCCUGAGCCCCUCCCAGCCCCUGGAUCCCGGGGUCCUGGAGCUGCCCCGCAUGGUCUUGGGGGACGGAGGGGAGUUCACCUGCUGAGCUCAGCACCGGAGCGUCUCGUACCAUGUCUCCUUGAACCUAGUCAUGCAGGGUGAGCGGACCUGCGCCUCUCAUGGGAAGUCUGAUGACGGGCCCCCACGUUCCAAGCUGCAUCUGCAAACUACACCACAGCUCAUGGCAACACUGGAUCCCUAACCCACUGAGCAAGGCCAGGGAUAGAACCUGCGUCCUCAUGGUUCCUAGUCGGAUUCAUUUCUGCUGCACCACAACAGGAACUCCUGGGUUCCGAGACCAGCUCAGCAGGUUGGGGCUGAAGAACGGGUGCUGUGAAACGUAAGGAAUAAAGUUAACAUCAAACAAGACACAGAGACAUUUAUCUUAAGUAAAGGUGGGAACCGGGGUACUCAAGGUCUCAGGGACCCAGAGCGCCGCCUCAAGAAACCACACUGCUUUGGUUGUGCUCUUGAGGAGGACGUCAAGUGAGGAGGGCGUUGCAGGUGCAGGAUAUAGGGGGUUUUUUAAGUUAUUUUUUUAAGUCACAGAGCCAGUUGCUGAUUAAGCUUUUAUUUUGACCUUGAGGCAUUUAACAAUCAUCAGCAUUUGAGGAAGCUUGGCGUCAGCUCUCUAUGCAUAGCAUCUAGAGAAUCACCCUUGUGCUUCUGCAAACAGCGUGCCUAUCUGCAGCAACCUGGGCGGUGCCUAGGUUUGCACCUCGGUUCUCCUUGCUCAUGCAUCGCCUGCUAACGACCCCUCAUAAACCCCUUGGGGCCAUGAGGCUCAUCUUCCUCUUAUUCUUUAGAGGACAUAGCAUGCUGUACACAUGGCGGGCCUGGACCAAGGCAUUCUGUCCUCAUUCAGCUGACCCCAUGCAUGGCUUAUGCCUUUAGGUCUUUGUGCUUAAGCUUAAGUCAUUUACUGGCACUGCGACUGUUUUCCAAGCAGGAAGAUGGGGUGAAGGAAAGCAGGACAAGAUGGAGUUUUCAGCAUAGAAACCAGAAGCAAAGAGGCUAAGAAAAGAUUGCGGAAACCUGUCUCGAGACACCUGGGGAGUUUCUUGUGGGUGUAGCGGUUUAAGGAACCAGUGCCGUCACGGAAGCUUCUCAGGUCACUACUGUGGCACAGGUUCGAUCCCUGAUCCAGGAACUUCCAUUUGCCUGAGCACAGCCAAAAACAAUUCCCUCGCUGCUGCCUCCCAGGAAUGCACUUCUGGUUCCAGCCGAAGGCUGCUGAUCCUCCGUGUGCAAACCCUGAGAACAACACCAAUGACCUUUUGCUUUAAGAUCACCCUGCCUUUUUUCCUCGGGUUUAUUUCAAAUCUGAGACGGCAGUGCGGGCUCUCUGGAGUAUCAUUUUCCUUUGGCCGGAAGACCCUGUCAUCUGUUUUUCUGGUGUCGGGGUGCAGGUGAUGAACUACUGCAGCCGGUGUUUGUCUGGAGACAUGUUUGCUUAUGAGAGCUUCGGAAAGAUGGGUUUUGGGCACCAGCUGUUCUAGGUUAACAUUUUCCCCCCUUUCUGUUGUUCACAUUUUUCUGGUUUGCCUCAUCUUAGGCAGAUCCUGCUGUUACUUUCCUCUUUAUUUCUUCCCUGUCUUUCAUAGUUUUCUCUGCCUGGUUUAAUACUGUCUCUUUUUCAGGGGGUUUAGAUAAUUUGAUUAAUACGUGCCUUGGUGUGUAAGUAUGUGUGUGUGCUGAUAUGUGAGAGAGACAGAGACAAAAUUACCCUCCUUGCAGUGUGCUAAGUAUCUUGCGUCUACAAACUUAAAAGUUGUGAUCAAAUUUGUCGACAUUGAAGCUGCUGUUUAUUUAAAUACAUACAUAUUUUUCCUA